This 822-nucleotide long non-coding RNA is filed under the name Cercocebus atys (sooty mangabey). Its description in RNAcentral is "lncRNA (ENSCATG00000045427.1)". Lineage: Eukaryota; Metazoa; Chordata; Mammalia; Primates; Cercopithecidae. The record is from RNAcentral.
CAAACAUUCUAUAUAUGUAUAAUACUUAAAUUGAAUGUGUUGCUUAUAUAGAUUUUAAAAUUUAUUAGCAUGGGUGGGAAAAUGGAACAAACUCUCCUAAGUUAGUGACGUCCUCUCUAGUUGCAUGCAAUGUGUUUCACAUAUCACUAUAUAACUUGUAGGCACUAAAAAGUUUCUUUCAUUGUUGUCUUUUGAUAUGUAUCUGUAUCUUAUCCAUAUCUAUCUUGUUCCAUAAGAAGAUAGUAGACCCUGAUUAUUUACAGAUUGCUUCUCAUGCCUCAUUUUCCAGACGACCUAGCACUGUGCUUAUACAUGAUGCUACUAACGACUGAAGUUUAUUUACUAGGCUUGAUUUCUUCCUAAACCCUUAUGUAAUAGAUCCUCUGUCUCUGUAGUCAGUAGCCCACUACUGAGGCAAGAACAUUUCAUAGGAUGUUAAGAUAUAAGACAAGAAAAUUAUUGACCACCCGUUCUUAUUUGCAUAAAUGUAAUCCUUUAAAACAUUUUAGAUGUCAAAAUAUAUGAUAUUUUUCUGCAUAUCUGAACAGGGGAUUAUGCUGGAGUUUUGAGAAUCUUAAGAAAUCACGGAAUGAUAGAAAAGAUCAACAUGGUCAGUGAUUAGUGCUGAGACUAUUAGAAAGAAGAACAAACUGAAGGAGCUGGUUUGGAUUAAAGUCACAUACAAACUGAGCCAUCUCCAACAUCUACAUCAGGAAGUAACUCUAACUCAAGAUAGAGGUCAUUGGAGGGGCAACAGGUUUGUAUUGCUUAUUCUGGCUUGUCUUUUCCUGUACUGGAGAUCAUUUGGAAGAUCUACCAGUG